This 472-nucleotide ribosomal RNA is filed under the name uncultured bacterium. RNAcentral's name for it is "partial 16S ribosomal RNA". The stretch from base 16 to 340 matches the Rfam family "Bacterial small subunit ribosomal RNA", at positions 43 to 396 of the family's 1533-position model. The record is from RNAcentral.
AACGAACGCUGGCGGCAUGCCUAACACAUGCAAGUCGAACGAAGGCUUCGGCCUUAGUGGCGCACGGGUGCGUAACGCGUGGGAAUCUGCCCUUAGGUUCGGAAUAACAGUUAGAAAUGACUGCUAAUACCGGAUGAUGACGUAAGUCCAAAGAUUUAUCGCCUGAGGAUGAGCCCGCGUAGGAUUAGCUAGUUGGUGUGGUAAAGGCGCACCAAGGCGACGAUCCUUAGCUGGUCUGAGAGGAUGAUCAGCCACACUGGGACUGAGACGCGGCCCAGACGAGGAGGGGAGGAAGGGGGGAGGAAUAGUGGAGAAGGGGAGAGAUCGUGAGAGAGCAGUGGGGGGGGAGAGGAGGAGGUGGGGGGAUUGGAAAUCUCUGAAACAAGGGAUGAAGAGGAAAGGAGCGGGAGAAAAGACGGGGGCUAAGGCAGUGCAAGGAGGAGCAGUAAGAGAGAAGAGAAAAGGUAGGAAC